RNAcentral lists this ribosomal RNA (361 nucleotides) under Sporolactobacillus sp. THM7-7. Its description in RNAcentral is "partial 23S ribosomal RNA". It matches the Rfam family "Bacterial large subunit ribosomal RNA", at positions 1 to 350 of the family's 2925-position model. Lineage: Bacteria; Bacillati; Bacillota; Bacilli; Caryophanales; Sporolactobacillaceae. The record is from RNAcentral.
AUAUAGGUUAAGUAAAGAAAAGCGCACGGUGGAUGCCUUGGCACUGGGAGCCGAUGAAGGACGGAACGAACACCGAAAUGCUUCGGGGAGCUGUAAGUAAGCGUGGAUCCGGAGAUCUCCGAAUGGGGGAACCCCCUGCUCUGAACGGGCAGGAUGCCUUUCUGAAUCCAUAGGGGAGGCAGGGCAGACCCGGGGAACUGAAACAUCUCAGUACCCGGAGGAAGAGAAAGCAAAUAUGCGAUUUCCUGAGUAGCGGCGAGCGAAACGGAAACAGCCCAAACCGGAGGGCUUGCCCUCCGGGGUUGAAGGACACUCCGCACGGAGUCAGAAAAGAGCGGCGCAGGCGAACGGCCUGGAAGGG